Molecule: ribosomal RNA, 433 nt
Filed under: uncultured bacterium
Lineage: Bacteria
Description: partial 16S ribosomal RNA
Rfam family: Bacterial small subunit ribosomal RNA
Source: RNAcentral
AGCGAACGCUGGCGGCAGGCCUAACACAUGCAAGUCGAACGAACCUUUCGGGGUUAGUGGCGGACGGGUGAGUAACACGUGGGAACGUGCCUUUAGGUCCGGAAUAACUCAGGGAAACUUGUGCUAAUACCGAAUGUGCCCUUCGGGGGAAAGAUUUAUCGCCUUUAGAGCGGCCCGCGUCUGAUUAGCUAGUUGGUUGAGGUAAUGGCUCACCAAGGCGACGAUCAGUAGCUGGUCUGAGAGGAUGAUCAGCCACAUUGGGACUGAGACACGGCCCAAACUCCUACGGGAGGCAGCAGUGGGGAAUCUUGCGCAAUGGGCGAAAGCCUGACGCAGCCAUGCCGCGUGAAUGAUGAAGGUCUUAGGAUUGUAAAAUUCUUUCACCGGGGACGAUAAUGACGGUACCCGGAGAAGAAGCCCCGGCUAACUUCGU